RNAcentral lists this ribosomal RNA (413 nucleotides) under uncultured bacterium. Its description in RNAcentral is "bacterial SSU rRNA". It matches the Rfam family "Bacterial small subunit ribosomal RNA", at positions 355 to 766 of the family's 1533-position model. The record is from RNAcentral.
UAAGGAAUAUUGGUCAAUGGACGCAAGUCUGAACCAGCCAUGCCGCGUGAAGGAUGAAGGUCCUCUGGAUUGUAAACUUCUUUUAUCUGGGACGAAAACGGGAUUUUUAUCUCAAUUGACGGUACCAGAGGAAUAAGCACCGGCUAACUCCGUGCCAGCAGCCGCGGUAAUACGGAGGGUGCGAGCGUUAUCCGGAUUUACUGGGUUUAAAGGGUGCGGUGGUGGGCUUAUAAGUCAGUGGUGAAAUCUCCGAGCUUAACUUGGAAACUGCCGUUGUUACUAUAGGUCUUGAAUUAUCUGGAGGGAAGCGGAAUAUGUCAUGUAGCGGUGAAAUGCUUAGAUAUGACAUAGAACACCAAUUGCGAAGGCAGCUUACUACAUAUAAAUUGACGCUGAGGCACGAAAGCGUGGGG